AUGACCUAUGAAUUGACAGCCAGUGUGCCUUCAGAGUUUGUCUGUCAUUUCUGUGGGUCAAUA
Molecule: microRNA precursor, 63 nt
Filed under: Microcaecilia unicolor
Lineage: Eukaryota; Metazoa; Chordata; Amphibia; Gymnophiona; Siphonopidae
Description: Mun-Mir-192-P2_pre stem-loop
Source: RNAcentral